UUUUAGGAUUUUAAAUAGCUCAGCAGGAAUUCCAUCACCUUCACUAGCUUUGUUCACAGUAAUGCUUCCUAGGGCCCACUUGACUUUCCACUCCAGGAUGUCAUGUUCUAUGUAAGUGACCAUACCUUCAUGGUUAUCCAGGUCAUUAAAACCUUUU
Long non-coding RNA from Cervus elaphus (red deer), 157 nucleotides. RefSeq lists it as uncharacterized. The transcript has 3 exons. Lineage: Eukaryota; Metazoa; Chordata; Mammalia; Artiodactyla; Cervidae. The record is from RefSeq and is a predicted model, not a curated record.